Molecule: ribosomal RNA, 478 nt
Filed under: uncultured bacterium
Lineage: Bacteria
Description: partial 16S ribosomal RNA
Rfam family: Bacterial small subunit ribosomal RNA
Source: RNAcentral
GACGAACGCUGGCGGCGUGCUUAACACAUGCAAGUCGAACGGUAAGGCCCUUCGGGGUACACGAGUGGCGAACGGGUGAGUAACACGUGGGUGAUCUGCCCUGCACUUCGGGAUAAGCCCGGGAAACUGGGUCUAAUACCGGAUAGGACCACUGCCUGCAUGGGUGGUGGUGGAAAGCUUUUGCGGUGGGGGAGGGGCCCGCGGCCUAACAGCGUGUGGGUGGGGUGAUGGCCUACCAAGGCGUCGACGGGUAGCCGGCCUGAGAGGGUGACCGGCCGCACUGGGACUGUGGUACGGCCCAGACUCCUACGGGAGGCAGCAGUGGGGAAUAUUGCACAAUGGGCGCAAGCCUGGUGCAGCGACGCCGCGUGAGGGAUGACGGCCUUCGGGUUGUAAACCUCUUUCAGCACCGACGAAGCGCAAGUGACGGUAGGUGCAGAAGAAGGACCGGCCAACUACGUGCCAGCCGCCGCCGUAA